ACGGGAUUGCCUCAGUAGCGGCGAGUGAAGCGGCAAGAGCUCAGAUUUGAAAUCUCAUAGUGUGCGAGUUGUAAAUUGCAGGUUGGAGUCUGGGUUAGACGUGUGUGCAAGUCCCUUGGAACAGGGUGCCACUGAGGGUGAGAGCCCCGUAGCGUGCAUGUCGACACCUGUGAGGCCCUUCUGACGAGUCGAGUUGUUUGGGAAUGCAGCUCUAAGUGGGUGGUAAAUUCCAUCUAAGGCUAAAUAUUGGCGAGAGACCGAUAGCGAACAAGUACUGUGAAGGAAAGAUGAAAAGCACUUUGAAAAGAGAGUGAAACAGCACGUGAAAUUGUUGAAAGGGAAGGGUAUUGGGCUCGACAUGGGAUUUACGCAUCGUUGCCUCUCGUGGGCGGCGCUCUGGGUUUUUCCUGGGCCAGCAUCGGUUUUCGUUGCAGGAUAAGGACAAUUGGAAUGUGGCUCCUCGGAGUGUUAUAGCCUUUUGUAGAUGCUGCGUAUGGGGACCGAGGGCUGCGGCGGACUCGUUUCGUCUCGGAUGCUGGCACAACGGCGCAAUACCGCCCGUCUUGA
This 567-nucleotide ribosomal RNA is filed under the name Pichia kluyveri. Its description in RNAcentral is "partial large subunit ribosomal RNA". It matches the Rfam family "Eukaryotic large subunit ribosomal RNA", at positions 69 to 657 of the family's 3401-position model. The record is from RNAcentral. Lineage: Eukaryota; Fungi; Ascomycota; Pichiomycetes; Pichiales; Pichiaceae.